RNAcentral lists this unclassified non-coding RNA (437 nucleotides) under soil metagenome. RNAcentral describes it as "partial contains 5.8S ribosomal RNA, internal transcribed spacer 2, and large subunit ribosomal RNA". The stretch from base 1 to 120 matches the Rfam family "5.8S ribosomal RNA", at positions 35 to 154 of the family's 154-position model. The record is from RNAcentral.
GAUGAAGAACGCAGCGAAAUGCGAUACGUAAUGUGAAUUGCAGAAUUCAGUGAAUCAUCGAAUCUUUGAACGCAUAUUGCGCUCUUUGGUAUUCCGAAGAGCAUGCUUGUUUGAGUAUCAGUAAACACCUCAAAACUUUUGAUUUUUUUUAAAAAAAAAAGGUUUUUGACUUGAGCAAUCCCAAACCCAAUCUUUUUUAGAUCGGUGGAGGGUUGCUUGAAAUGCAGGUGCAGCUGGACAUUCUCCUGAGCUAAAAGCAUAUUUAUUUAGUCCCGUCAAACGGAUUAUUACUUUUGCUGCAGCUAAUAUAAAGGGAGUUUGACCGUAUUGGCUGACUGAUGCAGGAUUUCACAAGGGUCGGCAACGAUUCUUGUAAAACUCGAUCUCAAAUCAAGUAAGACUACCCGCUGAACUUAAGCAUAUCAAUAAGCGGAGGA